This 479-nucleotide ribosomal RNA is filed under the name Penicillium sp. DX-SES5. Its description in RNAcentral is "eukaryotic LSU rRNA". The stretch from base 133 to 286 matches the Rfam family "5.8S ribosomal RNA". The record is from RNAcentral. Lineage: Eukaryota; Fungi; Ascomycota; Eurotiomycetes; Eurotiales; Aspergillaceae.
GGGGGGCCCUGGGGCCAACCUCCCACCCGUGUUGCCCGAACCUAUGUUGCCUCGGCGGGCCCCGCGCCCGCCGACGGCCCCCCUGAACGCUGUCUGAAGUUGCAGUCUGAGACCUAUAACGAAAUUAGUUAAAACUUUCAACAACGGAUCUCUUGGUUCCGGCAUCGAUGAAGAACGCAGCGAAAUGCGAUAACUAAUGUGAAUUGCAGAAUUCAGUGAAUCAUCGAGUCUUUGAACGCACAUUGCGCCCUCUGGUAUUCCGGAGGGCAUGCCUGUCCGAGCGUCAUUGCUGCCCUCAAGCCCGGCUUGUGUGUUGGGCCCCGUCCCCCCCGCCGGGGGGACGGGCCCGAAAGGCAGCGGCGGCACCGCGUCCGGUCCUCGAGCGUAUGGGGCUUCGUCACCCGCUCUAGUAGGCCCGGCCGGCGCCAGCCGACCCCCAACCUUUAAUUAUCUCAGGUUGACCUCGGAUCGGUAGUCAA